CCCUGCUUGCCUUCACUCAACCCCAAAACAUAGAACCUUUCAUUACAAGAUCUGAACCUGGCAGACAAUCCAAGAAAUUACAAAAAUUUGGUACAUUCACAAAAACAGAUGAGUCUGUUUAUACAGGUUCUGAAGGUUUCUCGGUGGUCAUUCAUAGAAGACUGCAUGCUCAGGAACACCCAGUCUGAGACAACAAGGGCCCACUUUGUUUUACUGGAGAGAACUGGAAGUGCUUUCUCAAAACGCCUUUUCAUUUCAUCAUUCAGCUAGCACAUUGCAACGUCAGCAGGCAGGAGCUGAGAUGCUGAAGUGUUCAAAGCACCUGGCGAACUUUGUAUUCAGAAAGAAACAUGACACAAUAUAUAGUUAACCUUGGUGUAUCCAGAAAGCGAACCUGGAUUUCAGGAUUGUAUAGGUAUCUAUGUCCCCCCCUUGAAGGGGGGACUGAAGCUCUGAAGUUCUUUGCAGAAGGUAGAAAACAGUAGGUAGUGACUUCCUGGAAAGAAUUCAGUCCCACAGGAG
This is a long non-coding RNA of Corapipo altera (White-ruffed manakin), 522 nucleotides long. RefSeq lists it as uncharacterized. The transcript has 5 exons. The record is from RefSeq and is a predicted model, not a curated record. Lineage: Eukaryota; Metazoa; Chordata; Aves; Passeriformes; Pipridae.